UGGCCACUUGUGAUGCAAGACAGAGGCAGGACUGAGAAGACGAGAGGUGGGCUUCGUUCCUGAGAAUAUCCAGGAGUCCAAGAGAUCUAAAUUGGAAGAUGGCCUUCCAAUUUAGAAUUCAACUAUCAACUUGCUGGUCCUCUACUUCCCGAAACUCUCCAGCCUACAUUUCUUCCUCUUCUUCGGUUUCUAAACUCAAACUGACUUUGGAAUGAAAGGGAGCAGCUGCUGAGGUAGGAAGGUCGGAGGUGGCCCUCCAAAAGCCUCUUUUCUGGAAGCUCCGCUGCCAAGGGCUCGACUGGAGUCCCAGGACAUAUUCAGAGGCCGCCAGACCCCUGCAUGGAGGCCCCUCCCUUGCAGCUCCUGGUUACCAUGAUUGAAUGAUGUCCUGCAGCUCCGAGCCUCAGCCACCUAUGUUGUCAAGGUUUCCUCUGUGAAAGCAUCCAAAAACUCUGCCAGCACCUUCUUCUUUCCUUUUUUGUUUUCCUACCAGGGCCAGGCCAGGCUCUGCUGGCCAUUUCCGAUUAAGCUCCUCAGAAGGCAUAGAGCCACUCACACUCAGAAUUAUUUAAAAUAACACUAGACUGCAAAUGCCCUAAAUAUCCAUCAGAAAUAAAUGGAUGCAUAACAUUGGGUGAAAGAA
Homo sapiens (human) is the source of this 643-nucleotide long non-coding RNA. Ensembl annotates it as long intergenic non-protein coding RNA 2509. Lineage: Eukaryota; Metazoa; Chordata; Mammalia; Primates; Hominidae. The record is from Ensembl.